ACAGGGGCAUAACACUGAGAAAUUGGUACUAAUUCCCCAUAAUAUUCGGAGAGGCAUCUCUCCGGGUUGAAAACUCCGGUGGUUAUAGAUGGACAUGCGUUGUAUUAGCUAGUUGGUGAGGUAACGGCUCACCAAGGCAACGAUACAUAGGGGGACUGAGAGGUUAACCCCCCACACUGGUACUGAGACACGGACCAGACUCCUACGGGAGGCAGCAGUGAGGAAUAUUGGUCAAUGGACGCAAGUCUGAACCAGCCAUGCCGCGUGCAGGAAGACGGCUCUAUGAGUUGUAAACUGCUUUUGUACGAGGGUAAACUCACCUACGUGUAGGUGACUGAAAGUAUCGUACGAAUAAGGAUCGGCUAACUCCGUGCCAGCAGCCGCGGUAAUACGGAGGAUUCAAGCGUUAUCCGGAUUUAUUGGGUUUAAAGGGUGCGUAGGCGGUUUGAUAAGUUAGAGGUGAAAUCCCGGGGCUUAACUCCGGAACUGCCUCUAAUACUGUUAGACUAGAGAGUAGUUGCGGUAGGCGGAAUGUAUGGUGUAGCGGUGAAAUGCUUAGAGAUCAUACAGAACACCGAUUGCGAAGGCAGCUUACCAAACUAUAUCUGACGUUGAGGCACGAAAGCGUGGGGAGCAAACAGGAUUAGAUACCCUGGUAGUCCACGCAGUAAACGA
This 675-nucleotide ribosomal RNA is filed under the name uncultured bacterium. Its description in RNAcentral is "bacterial SSU rRNA". It matches the Rfam family "Bacterial small subunit ribosomal RNA", at positions 135 to 809 of the family's 1533-position model. The record is from RNAcentral.